AGCGAAAACCGAAAGUACUGCUAAGCUGCUUGCCGAAGCAAGAGUAAGGGGAAGUUCCAGCUACCGUCAUUGGUAGUAAGAAGGAACUGAGGAGGUGGUGGGUCAGCAGGACCCUUUACUGGGCGCCAUGAAGGUGCAACUCAUGGGGGGGCCCAGGCUGACCCCACAGAUGCUGGUAGAGGAAAAAUCUUCCUGCUACUGUGCACGUGCACGCGCACACACCUGAUUGGAAUUGACAUGAACAAGCACUCGAAGAAGAACUGGCCCUAGCAAUGUUCCAUAGGUAGGCACAUUCGAGUCUCCAUUUGAGUAUCAGGUGCCAAGAUUAAUCAGAAUAACAAGAUUACACAAGCUUGUAUCUGGCCUUUCUAGUUGCCAUUACCUCUGAAAUGCAACUUUUGGAAUUAGCUCCCCUAUCUCUACAAGAACUACACUGUUGUUGUCAUGAGGAAAAGGUUACUCUUAUAGCUCCAGAAAUCUUUCUGAUCAAGAUAAGUUCCUCUCUCCACAAUUGCUGGGAAACAGGUCUCCGGUUGUUUUGUUCUAAACCUUGGAAAGUUGUGUCAUAAAUAGGUAUUCCUAGUGCUUUAAAAUAUAUUUGAAGCACAUGGAGUACAUGUACCAGUUGUGUCCUGUUCAUCUAAUGCUAUCCAAAAUGUCAAGGUAAUAUAAGGCAUCAAAGUUGCUCCAGGCAAAACACAAAAGUGGCAUGCUAGGCAUCCCAGAAGUCUUUAGAGGCACUGGAGGGAAAGUGUAUGAGCCUCAUCUGAGGAAGAUUUGCAAAGCGAGUUUCCAUUUCUCCACAGGAAGCUGCUACUGGGUUGGUUCCCACAUAAUUCCUUAGAUUACAGAGCUCUGGCUCUUUAUGGAGGGAAACUUCCAUUCUUGCCUAUUAUUCAACUAUAAUAAUAAUUAAAGCAUCCUUUCCCCCUCCCCCACUUUUUGGAUUCACUGCUUGCUGCUUCCCAUUAGUGAUGAAUGAGGAGAGAUGCUGUGCAAGAGAAUGCCAAAUUUCUUACCUGAUCAUUUUCUUUCCAUUAGCAGCUUCUCUCCUCAUUCAGCCCACCCUGGUAGUCUGGUAAAUGACUAGAGGGAAAGUUAGAUAUUUAUAAUUGUUUUAAGGUUAAUUUAACACCUUGUAUCAGGUUGUCUUAAUGCUAAUAAUUGGUUGCUGUAGUAUUUCUACAGCUGUAGAAGUACUCCUCCAGUGGCCUGUAUGGAAGGGUGGGGCUUAGUCCUGGAGCCUACAGAAACAAUACUGGACUGCCUCUGAAUUCUGGAGGGGUGGAGGGUUUAACCCAUUAGAAAUGAACAAGAAGAGAAACUGCUAAAAGAAAAUUAUCAGAGACUGUCCAGUUUGACGAAUGUAUCCUGCUCAGUCUCAGCACCUUUCUCUUAAAAGAGUGUUAGACACUAUGAAAACAAAGGUUAGAGCAUGAGGAAAUGCAGAGUUAAGGGAAUAUUUCUCACACAAGACAACCACAACUCUGCCCUUGUAUGGCUACCAGGAUGACCUUAUAACAUCACAGUACUUUUCUUUACCUAACAUAAGUUAUAAUUUCCCCUACGCCCAGCACAACUUCAAAUACAGAGAAGGGAACCCAGGCAUUCCUAAACUUUAGGUCUGAUGGAGAACCAAGAUCAGAGGAAAGCUUAGCACUGACACGAAUGCAUUUAACUGGAAACUUCCAGAGCAAUGGAACAGACUCGGCACUGAAGAACCUGCACUGAUAGCACCAGCCAGUUUUUGGCCAGAAAAGGCACUGAAUUCCCCAGUACCUCACACACCCCGAGAUAAAGGUUCAAAUGACAAAACCAGCCUCUUUGGCACUGGAGAUCUGGAAGUGAAACUAGACUUAGUGUUCUGACUCAAAACCCGAUAAUAGUGCUGGGCACAUUAGGGACUUCUAAAGUUUCUUUUGCCUGAGAAUUGGGGCCUGACUAGUGGAUGGAUCCGAAGAGCUGGCUUGUAUGCCUUCUGUCAUGAGGAAGGCCAGGAGCUAAAUGUGCCUAUCCUUUCAAGUCCAAGGCAUGAAGACACAGCAAGCCAAACAAUCUGAGGGAUGGCCUUCCCCAAUGCACAGGAGACAAGGAGUACCAAUAAUACCACAUGGACUUUUUUCAGGUCUUUGGAUGGAGCUCAGAUUGUGAAGGAUGGGAAGAUGCCUGUAAUAUUUUAUGAAUAUUUCCAUCUAUUUGUGAUUGUGUUGUUUGCUCUAUGAUUGUCAAAUUCAAGGAUUAAUUCAUGCAGGACUUACUUACAUUUUCACAGGAAAGGACAAUAGCUUCAGAUUGCCCCAUUUAAAAACACUUAAAAGGACAAUGCAGGUGUCAUCCCCCUUGAAAUUUCUCUCUGACCAUGCUGAGAUCAAUUGUAUGGCUGGGGACCUGGGGCGGGGGAAGGGUUUCAGCUUGUACCAAAGAGAGGUGAUGCCUUCAGGCAAGAAACUGGAACAAACAACUUUGGGACUGAGAAACUGAGAGCUCUUAAAGCACAGAGGAGAGAGAGGGUCAGUGAGGAAGCAAACUAAACCCCAGUCCCCAGAGGUGGGGGUACUCAAGUAAAGGUAGGCCAACCUAAGCUUUGGGUAAGACCGAUAUACGCUUAGAUAUUAUGUUACAUUAAAACUUUUUAUCUUGCUAUGCUCUGGUCCUAUUAUUAUGAUUAAACAAUACUUUGCA
Dermochelys coriacea (leatherback sea turtle) is the source of this 2682-nucleotide long non-coding RNA. RefSeq lists it as uncharacterized. NCBI's taxonomy places the organism in Eukaryota, Metazoa, Chordata, Testudines, Dermochelyidae. The transcript has 2 exons. The record is from RefSeq and is a predicted model, not a curated record.